UCACGUGACCAAACCACGCCUCGACACAGUGGCUCGAUACGUUUGCUUCAUGAGCUACAGCGCAUGUGUCGAAACCUCGGGUAGCAGAGGACCAUCACUGUCUGUGGCUGCUGUUGACCUUGUUUUUGGAGUAAAACACGGUGGAAGCUGAAUUAGUGAGGAUGACUCCUGCUCCUGUCAUCUCUAAGCUCCUCACACAUCUUUACCUGCACAUGAGGAAAAUCACUCCUGUAGAAUGCAGAUGUUCAGAGGGAGAUGAUGCCACAUCUGGUCCAGCUGAUGGAAGGUCUUGAAGUUCUCUGACUGGCCUCGACUGAAGAUGGUCGUCUCACUGGAUUUAAGAGAUGCACAAUGAGGGACGUCUGCAGCGACUGAGAAAGAGUCUCACCACAUCCUGACAUGAGGAAAAAGACUUUAUUGAAGACUACAAUGAGGAAAAACUAUCAGACAGCAGACGGCUGCAUUCAAGGUGAGCUCUGAACAUUUGAUCUGGAACAGGAAUUCAAUAACGGCAGCAUGAGCUUCAUUUCAGUCUGUAGCUGCUGAAUUCAUGGAUGAAUCAUCUGGCACUAGAGAAGAAGACCAUCAAACAUCCACAUCAGCUGAUGGAGGUCCAAGAGUCUCACCAAACAAACAACCUACAGAGUGAAGACCUCGAAUCUGAUUGGACGGCCUCCUAUUCAGCCACAUGUGAACAAAUGCCUCUAAGCUGAUUUGUUUUCUAAAAUAAAUCUAGUUUGAGUCCUAA
Long non-coding RNA from Amphiprion ocellaris (clown anemonefish), 748 nucleotides. RefSeq lists it as uncharacterized. The transcript has 4 exons. The record is from RefSeq and is a predicted model, not a curated record. Lineage: Eukaryota; Metazoa; Chordata; Actinopteri; Pomacentridae.